CGGCGGACGGGUGAGUAACGCGUAGGAAUCUACCCAGUAGUGGGGGGACAACUUGGGGAAACUCAAGCUAAUACCGCAUACGCCCUAUGGGGGAAAGCGGGGGACCUUCGGGCCUCGUGCUAUUGGAUGAGCCUGCGUCGGAUUAGCUAGUUGGUGGGGUAAGAGCCCACCAAGGCGACGAUCCGUAGCUGGUCUGAGAGGAUGAUCAGCCACGCUGGAACUGAGACACGGUCCAG
RNAcentral lists this ribosomal RNA (236 nucleotides) under uncultured bacterium. RNAcentral's name for it is "partial 16S ribosomal RNA". It matches the Rfam family "Bacterial small subunit ribosomal RNA", at positions 96 to 334 of the family's 1533-position model. The record is from RNAcentral.